Molecule: ribosomal RNA, 254 nt
Filed under: uncultured bacterium
Lineage: Bacteria
Description: partial 16S ribosomal RNA
Rfam family: Bacterial small subunit ribosomal RNA
Source: RNAcentral
UACGGGGGGAGCAAGCGUUGUUCGGAUUUACUGGGCGUAAAGGGCGCGUAGGCGGCCACCGCAAGUCGACUGUGAAAUCUCCGAGCUUAACUCGGAACGGUCAACUGAUACUGUGCGACUAGAGUGCGGAAGGGGCAACUGGAAUUCCGGGUGUAGUGGUGGAAUACGUAGAUAUCCGGAGGAACACCAGCGGCGAAGGCGGCUUUCUGGUCUGAUACUGACGCUGAGGCGCGAAAGCGUGGGGAGCGAUCCGG